GUCUAUGGUCAUACCACUCCAAAUAUAUCUGAUCCUGUAAGGUCUCAGUAGCUAAGCAGGAUCAGACCUUGUUAGAAUUUGGAUGGGAGAAAUAUUUGAAAAAAUAAGUCAAAGAAC
Molecule: ribosomal RNA, 117 nt
Filed under: Nannospalax galili (Upper Galilee mountains blind mole rat)
Lineage: Eukaryota; Metazoa; Chordata; Mammalia; Rodentia; Spalacidae
Source: RNAcentral